GAAAAAGUAUGCAAGAACUGCUAACUCAUUGCCCCCACACCUAAAAAUGUGGCUCUUUAA
Molecule: transfer RNA, 60 nt
Filed under: Molossus molossus (Pallas's mastiff bat)
Lineage: Eukaryota; Metazoa; Chordata; Mammalia; Chiroptera; Molossidae
Description: tRNA-Ser
Source: RNAcentral